Molecule: long non-coding RNA, 521 nt
Filed under: Ananas comosus (pineapple)
Lineage: Eukaryota; Viridiplantae; Streptophyta; Magnoliopsida; Poales; Bromeliaceae
Description: long non-coding RNA (ACOM_LNC020997)
Source: RNAcentral
AAUAUGAACUAGGCGAGUUUAAUCGAUGAUAAAUGAGUAUAGUUUCGAUAUGGGUAUAAAAGCAGACCUGAAUACCGAGCAUUCGGGUUCGGGUAUAAUAUGGUUUUGAUCUGUAUUUGAUUCGAAUCCGCACCCAAACUCAAACAUGAACUAAACCCGAACUAGUUUUAUAUUAUAUAAUAUGAAUCCGGCUAUGGUGCUUGUAAAAGCACCAAUCACUUUGUGCUUGUAGGUUUUUAACCGUUAGAUCAGUACUGUUGAUCAUUUACAUCCGUUAGAUUAUACUAUUCAACCAACCACCCAUUCAAUCUUAGGGGGCUCAUAUCAUCCUAACCACAUAUUUUUUAAUCUAAAGGCUAAAAACUUACAAGCACCAAUGUCUUGGUACUUUCAAAAGCAUAGGAGCUCAAUGCAAUAUAAUACAUAAAAAUUUUAAGUUUAUGCCUUAGAAAUUUUGAUUCAAAUGUGAUAUAUUCUAAAUUUGAUAAAACGAAAUAAUUGCUUUCGGAUUCGAAUUUUCG